This 19347-nucleotide long non-coding RNA is filed under the name Vitis vinifera (wine grape). Its description in RNAcentral is "long non-coding RNA (VVIN_LNC001501)". The record is from RNAcentral. Lineage: Eukaryota; Viridiplantae; Streptophyta; Magnoliopsida; Vitales; Vitaceae.
GUGGAUGAAAAGUUUUAAGUGUCGUUAUUAAAUAAAAAUCGUACCUCAUUACUUGUUGGAUUGAACCAUUUGAGGAGGGAAGACCAGAGUAGAGAUGAUGGACUUGAUAACAUUUCCAGCUUGGUGCAAUAGUGGGCAUCUAUUUCUCGCAGACUUGAUGGAAGCUCUGGAAUGUCUUGGAGCAUCUUGCAGUGACUGAUAUCAAGGUAACGAAGCUUACAAAGUUGAGAGAUGCCAGAAGGUAUGCUAACCAUUAGAUUGCAGUGACUCAAAUCUAGUCGUUCUAAGGUGCAGAAGCCUUCCGGAUUCUUGGGAAACUUCUCCAAGUUUGAACAACAACCUCGUAGUCUCAGAUAUGUAAGGGAUCUCAAAUUAUAAAUGCUGUCUGGAGGAGUCACAAGGCAAUUGCUCAUAUCCAAACGCCAGAGGCUUUUCAGAUUUUGAAUUGAUGAUGGUAGCUCUUUUAUACCAGUUCCACUUAAAUCAAGAAUUCCUAAGUAUUUCAUAUCCUCCGUGAUUUCUGGAAAAGUAUCUAGAUUUGAACAAUCAUUGAGAGAGAGGAUCUUAAGGGACUUUAACCUGCAAAUGCUACUUGGAAGGCUCCUCAAGUUUUUGCAGUCUGACAAAAAUAAGCUCUGAAGUUCAGUGAGAAGUUCUAUCGAGGAGGGGAAUUCCUUAAUACCACAUCCAUCAAGGACAAGAUUAGAUAAAGCUUUCAUAGGACUUCCCUUCAUCUCUGGAAAUUCCUCGAAGUUUGAGCAUUGAUCCAAGUCCAUAAUUUCAAGAGAGUCCAAGUAUUGAAUGCUACUUGGUAAACUCGUAAGGUUUUUGCACCCACUCAAAUUCAACGUGGUAAGAUUCUUGAGAUCUCCAAUAGAUGGAUCAACAACAUUCAAACUCGUACAAUCUUCAAGUUUUAACUUCUCUAGAUUUGGCAUAUUUGAGAACGAUAUUUCAGUGAGUUGCCUUGAUCCAGAUAAAUUUAAGAUCUUCAACUGCUCCAAACGCUGUGACAAAAGGAAUUUUGGUUUAGUAAAUGAAUUUUCGUGAAGAAAAAAUUAAUCUCAAACAAAAUAAUAUGAUCAUGAAAUACUAGAUACACCUCAUUUCUUUGCCGAAGUUGUUUUAUGUUGCUAUCCUUCAUGUUGAGUUCAAUAAGGUUCACUCCAAGAAAAUAUGACGGCAAUGAUUUCAAAGGGUAUCCUUCCCAAUGAAGAUAUCUCAACUCAGGUGCAGGGAAUUGAAAAUCUUCAGGAAGAAUAAUUUUCAAUUGCUUUUCCCUAGUACCACAAUAACCGCCUAAAUAAAUCUUGAGCAAUCUAAGUUGUUUCAUCUUUGCAAAAAUCUUUGUACUAACUUGUAGUGGUGUCGAUCUCGACAAGUCCAAGAAUAUUGCCUCAACAUUUUUCAUCCCCUACAAACAAUAACAAAGGAUUAGGCAAGCAUAAAAGAGAUAAAGCUAGCUAAAAUUGUAUGGAUAUGUAACUUAGACAAAAAUGAUAUUGCUCAAAUUUAAAUAUUUUUAUGAAGCUUAAGAAAGUUCAUGAGUUUGAUGGUUACCUUCCCCAUUGUAAAUGCACGACACACAUCACUCGGAUCCCAUAAUCUGCUCCAUUUUGUAGGAUCAUAAGGAGAUUCACUACGAAUAAUGUUCCGUCCCAUUUCUUGUAUCAAAUCGUGCAUAAGUAUCUUAUUUUUAGAAAAAGAUAUAAGACACUUAUCAUAGAGGGCUUUUAUUCCGCUCUCUGCAUACAAAUUACAACCAUCCAAUAUUCUUGAAACAAAGUCUUUGUCUUCCCCUUUAAAACAACAUGCAAUAUCAAGAAAUAUUUUCUUCUGUGUAUAAUCUAAUCCGUCAAAACUUAGUUUAAGCACAAUCUGAAUUUUCACUUCAGGUUCUCUUUCCAAUUUACACAAUUCACUUUCCCAUUGGAGUAUUGUCUUGUUAAACAAGAGAGAACCGAGGACUUUUAGAGCUAAAGGAAGACCAUGACAAUAAUAGACUACACGAUCCGAGAGGUGGAUGAAGUCUUGUUUGGGAAGAUUCUGUCUAAAAGCAAAGAGACUAAAAAGCUCACGAGCUUGUUCAAAAUUUAAUUCCUCAACCUCAUAUACUUCAUCCAUUUCAUGUAACAAAUGUUUAUUUCUAGUUGUUAUGAUGACUCUGCUUCCUCUUCCAAGCCAAUCAUGAUUUCUGAGUAAAUAUUCCAAUUGAUCUAAAUCAUCAAUGUCAUCAAGAACAAUAAAAACUCUUUUACAUCGGAGAACAUUUUUUAUCAUAUUGGCUCCUUGGCCAACAUUGCUUACAUUUUGAUUUCUCUCCACUUGUAGUAGAUCACAUAGAAGUUGAUUUUGUAAAUGAUGCAAACCCAUAGUAUUGCCAACUUCUCUAACAUUUUCAAGAAAGCUCAUAUACUCAAAUUCAUGAGAAAAUGUAUUAUAUACUACUUUGGCGAUAGUCGUUUUACCCAUUCCGCCUAUUCCACAUAUACCAAUGAUACGAACAUCAUUCAAUUGAUCAACACAUAGCCGCCGAAUUAUCUCAUAUACAUGAGAAUCCAUACCAACUAAGUUGUCAUGACCAACAUCCAACAUUCUAUAAUUCAAUCUCCUGAAUAUAUCGUUGACGAUUUUGUUAACAUGCUCGGACUCAAACCUGCCAAUUGUAAAGUAUAUGUGAUGAUUAAUUAAGCUAUAGCUAAUAAAAAAAAUAUAAAAAAGAAUACACGUUAAACUUUUUCAUGAGAAAUGAAUCAUAGUGAAAAAAAAUAUAUCAAAAGUAUUAAGUUUUAAAACUCAAAUUACGUUUUUAGAACAUUUUCAUUGUAUCAAGUAUACAAGACAAGGAAAAUAAAAUAUGUACUUGUUUAAUUUGUUUGCUUGUGCGACGCUGUCAAAUUGAUUUUUUUUUUUUUUUGUUUCGGAACAUUUAUAGGCUGCGAAGCAUGGAGCAAAUUUAUAUCAAACAAAAUCAUAUUGUAAUGACCCACUCUCUUGUGCAUAUAUAGAUAUCAUUUGCAGCUCUCUCUCUCUAUGUUAUGUGUAACAUUAUAAUUACCCAAUCCCCUAUCCACAAUGUAGACACAAGGUACUCAUCAUGUCUCAUAAUAUGAUGGGUUUGCAGGUCUUCAGUGACUUUCUAGAUUUACUUUGAAUACUUCAUGACUUGCAAUAAUCAUAAAUGACCUCCAAAUCUCUUCAACUAUUACUCUAUAAUCAUAAAAAUGUCUGAUUCCUGUGCCAGUAAAUAAAGCCUACUUAUAAAUGAAAGUUGAAGGAAAAUUAAUAAAGCUUUACCCAUCCUUCACAUGCUCUCCAGAUGUAUUGGCUGCUUCUGUCAAUGCACUCCUCCAACUUCGCACCUUCUCUUUCAUCUCUUCUGUAUCUUCUUUGUAAUAAGAAAAUGCCUCUCCAAAUCUUCCUGUCUGGUUUCGUACAUGGGAUGGAUCCACAUGGUAGAAAAUCGGUACCACAGUUUGUUUCAUUUCUUUCUUGCACUCCAUGAUCUUCACCAGCUCAUCUAAACACCAUCUAGAACCAGCAUAGUUUUCCGAGAAAACUAUUAGGGAAAACCUUGAUUCUUCAAUAGCUUUUAGGAGUUCAGGUGCAAUCUCUUCCCCUCUCUUAAGUGAAUCAUCAUCUCUAAAGGUAUGAAUACCUCUUCGAAUCAAAUUUGCAUAUAAGUGAUCAGUGAAAUUGAAUCGGGUGUCUUUACCUCUAAAACUCAAAAAAACUUCAUACUUGCAUUGUGGGAUGAAAGUAGAAAUAGAAGUAGAAAUUGAACUUGUGGAAGCCAUAGGAAACUUAUGCCAAAAUUAGAACUCAGAAGAGAUUUUGCAGAAUUGUGAAUGUAGAUUGUGCUGUAAAGACUUUGGGUCAAUGUUGUGUACAGAAAAAAAAAGAGUGGGUAGCGCCCCAAAAAAAUCUCCUCCAUCCAUUGCGAGUCUGUUUAAAUCCUCAUCUACUCGCUCUCUUGUUCUGCCACCUUUCUAAAUUAUUCUCAUCUCUAUUAAGUUAUGUUGGAUUCUCGUGUAAAGUAGUAGGAAGGAAAAAUAAAAGUAAAAGGUACCAUCAAAAUAUGAAAAAUAUUAAAUAUAUUUAAAAUUUAUAAAAAAUUUAUAUAUUUUAAAAUUAUUUAAUCUUUAUAUAAUAAUUUUUUUUAAAUAAAACAGAUUUAAAAAUAUAUAUAAAAAUAAUUUAUUAACUUUAUAUGUAGUUUAUAUUUUCUUUCAUUCCUUUUUUUUUCUUCUCUCUUAUUUUGCCUUUAACUUUUUUGGAAUCAAACAGGAUCUUACAAUUUUUUUAAAAGGUUAAUUUCAUUAAUUUCCCUUAAAUUGUAGCUAAAUAUAUUUAUCUCCUAUAGUUUUAAAAUUUUAUUAUGUACCUUUUUUAUUUUGAUUAAAAAAAUAUGAGUAAAAAAAAAAUUAUAAAAGAGAUAUUGAAUGAAAUUUCAAAUUUAAAAAAGUUAGACAUAUUUAGUCAAAGAGGUGAAUGAAAUUAAUAUUUUUUUUGAAUUAAAAAUGUUUUGUACAUAAGAAGAUCCCAUAUUAACGUAGUUGCAUAAUGAGACUCUUUUGCUUUCUCUAGAAUUAUUAAAAUUAAAAUUCCAACAUAUGAAACAGUGAUUGAAGAGAGUGAGGGCACGCGCUGCUGCAGAUGGGAUCACAAAGAUGGAGCAUCUUACUUAGGGUGAUGUCAGUGGCAGCUGGAAGGGUGGUGGUUGAAGAAUGGAUUAUUAUAGAGUGAGACUUGUAGGAAUGAUGAAUGGGAACAAAAUUUGUUGUCUACUUCAAUUUGCUAUAUCCUUUGUUUAUCUUAUUCAUGUUCUCCACUCACACCUCACCAUGCGUUCAAACAUACGACUCUUGAGGAUUUCUCAAAUGACGGGCACUUCCUUAAAUUUACAGAAUAACAUAUGACUCCCUAAUUCUCUGGGCACUUGCCUCAUAAAUAUGGCAAUGUUUCCUCUUCCCAUGUUUAUUUUUAAAGCUAAAUAGAAAAAUAACAUAACCUUGCUAGGGAAGGGGCUUGGAACCAGAGACCUUGAGCAAGGGAUGAUAGCCUCUUACCACCAAACUACUUGGGUAUUAUAAAACCACAUAAAUUCUAUUAUAUCUUUUAUAUUUUAUAAAUUAUAAAUUAAUUCAAAUCAAAUUAUUUUAAAUUAAUUAAUUUUAAUUAUUUUAUUAUUUAUGUUAUAAAAUAAUUAAAUAUAAGGUAAAUAUAAAUUUCUAAAUAAAAUUAUUGAUAUUUUUAAAUAAAAAAAACUUACAUAUAUUAUUAUUUAUUUUAUAUCCUUCAAUACAUAUUAAUUUGUCUGUUAAAAUUAAAACAACUUCAAUAUAUAUAUUAUUAAUUUUUCUAUCAUUUUUGGAGGUUUUUUUUUCUUUCAAUAUUACUAAGAUACUUGAAAUCAGUUUGUCAAUAUACCUAUUAUAAUCGAUAUUUUCUUCCUUAGUUUUUUAUGAGUUCGAGAACAUGCGAUAUCAACCUAAUAUAAAAAAAAUUGCAUUUGAAUGUGGUUUUAUGACUAUGCUUCCGACCUAAUAUUCAACACCAAUAAUUGGACUUUUGGGUUAUGGUUAUUCUUUUAACUAAUGUUGAAUUUCAACAACAAAAAACUUUGAUAAGUUGUUAGCAAUAUUUUUAGAAUCAAAUCGGACAUUAAAUCGAAAACAUUAUUGGUUUAUAGUUCAUUGGUCGGAUCGGUGGUCAAACUAUGAUCAAACCAGUGAUAUCAUAAAUAUAUAAUUUAUAUUUUAAUAAAAUUUAAAAUAAUUAUAAUAAAUUAAUAUAUAUAUAUUAUUAAAAUUUUUAAUAAUAUUUUAAUUUUUUAUGUGAAAUUAAAUGAUAAAUAUAAAUAUAAAUGUACCAAUAUAUUAAAUUUUAUUAAAUAGAAUAUGUAUAAUAUUUAAAUAUGAAAGUAUAUAUAAGAUGAAAAGAAAAUUAUAAUAUUUAAUUUAAUUAUGUAUCUACGUCUUUUGUUACUUUAAAAUUUUAAAAUUAUUAUAUUGAUUAAUUUAUAUUGUUUUCAUGUUUAUAAUUAAUAAUUAUUAUAAAAAUAUUUAUAUUUGUUAAAAUGUUUUAUACAAGGGUCUUCAAAAAGCCCGCGACCCGCGGCCCGGCCCAGCGGGCUAAAGCCCGGCAGGCCCGGUGGGCUGGCCCGCCACUUAAAAAUAUAAAUAUAUAUAUAUAAUAUUCAAGAAAUAGAAAAUGCUACAUUAAUAAAAAUAUUCAUUGCUAACUAUUUUAUUCAUUGAAUAUAUAUAUUACAUUUGAAAAUGUGGGAAAAGUUUACAUCACUACAAAAUAAAUACAUCCCAACUAGGUUGGCACCUACUUAUUUGUCAAUCAUUUGUACUUUUAAACCACAAAAAUAAAAAUAAAAAUAUGACAUACAUUUAGUAAAAUAUUUUAAUCAUUAUCUCUUGACGGUGAUGGCGAACUAUCGCAAAUCCAUGAAGAUCUUGAUGAUUUUAGUUUUUCCAUAUCGACAAGCAUAUUUUCUUUUUGAAUAGAAUCAAAUAUCAUUUUAUCUGCUAUUGCCCAGUCUUUCACAUAUAUAUUUGCUUCAAUAGAAUCCGGCGCUAAGCUGCAUCGUUUAUCACUAACUACUCUUCCACCUACACUAAAAGCAGCUUUUGAUGCAACUGUACUCACAGGAACUGUUAGUACAUCACGAGCAAUGAUAGAAAACACAGGAUAUUUGUGUUGUUGUGAUUUCCACCAUAUUAAAAUAUCAAAAUCUUCAUCAUCUUCAAAUGAAAUUAAAUCAAUAUUAAGAUAUCUAUCUAAAUCAGUUGUGUUGUUUGGAGAACUAUUUGUUGUCUUCUUUCGACUUUUUAACAUUUUUAGAGCUCCUUUAUAAAAAGAUGAAGAACUUGUAGAUGUAGGUGGUAAUUUAAUAGAACUAAUAUCAUCACCAUAUUUUUCUGUAUAAUAGUUAUAUAAAUUAUAUAAUAAUGAAUUUAUUUCAUUUUUAAUUUCUUCAAUUUUUAUUUGGUCAUUAAAAUAAAUGAUUGUUAACCAUUCAUCUAAAGCUUCAAAUUUCAAUCUAGGGUCCACAAUUAAACCAAGAGAAAAAAAUUAAAGGUAUUUCUCCCCAAUAUUUUCUAAAUUUUUCUAUCAUUGCAAAUAUUGCAUCAUUAAAUAUAUCCAAAUUUAAAUAUUUUUGAAGUACAAUAAAAAUAUUAGUUAUUUGUAUGACAACUCGGUUUGAAGAUGGAUAAUAUACACCACAAAAUUUUUUUGUUGAAGUAUCAAAUACUUCAAAAAGAUCUCUUAAAAGAUCUGCAAUAUGUCAAUCAUAAUCAUUUAAUGCAUCAAUAUCUGCUUCACAAUCAUUGUUAAUUAAUUGUAUUUCAUAUAGUUCUACUACUUUUCUAUAUUUUAUAAUAGUUUGUAAAAGUUUAUAAGUGGAAUUCCAUCUAGUGGGCAUAUCCAAAUUUAUAUUUCUUUUUUUCAUAUUUAACAUUUUGCAACAAUAAAAAAAUAAUUCAUGUUUUGCUUGAGAACUAUUAAGACCCGCAGCAAUGCCUCUAAUUUUUGAUAAUGUAUCAUCAACGUGUUUUAAUCCAUCUUUUACAAUUAAAUUUAAAAUAUGUGCACAACAACGCACAUGAAAUAUUUUACAUUGAUCUUCUUUUAUUUGCCAAUAUCGUUUUAAUCUAGAUACUGUUGCAUCAUUAUUAGAAGCAUUAUAUAAUGUUAUUGUAAAUAUUUUAUCACGAAUGCCAAAAUCUAUAAUUUCAUCAUUUAUUAAUGAUGCUAUAUUUUUACCAUUAUGUGGAGCAUUUAUUAUUUUAAAUGAAAUAAUUCUUUUAUUUAAUUUCCAUUCAUUAUCAAUAUAAUGAGCAGUUUAUACAUAAAAAAACCACUGUGAGUUAAAGAUAUCCAAAUAUCAGAUGUUAAACAAAUUAUUCCUUCAAAAUUUGCAAAAAAAAAUUUUAAAUUUUCUUUUUGUGUUUCAAAAUUUUUUAUAAGAAUUCUUUUAACUGUAAUUCUAGAGCAACCUUGAAACUGAGGAUUAACAGCUCGUUGCAUUGUUCCCAUAAAAUCAUGAGUUUCCAUGAAAUUGAAAGGUUGUUUUGCUCUUAUUAUAUAACCAAUCAUUUUUUUACGACAAUAAGAUUCAUCCUAAGAAAAUGUUUUUAAAUUUCCACUUUCAUCUUUACUUAAUUGCAUAUAAUUUCUAAUAUCUACAUUAUUUUUAGUUUUACAAUUUUCAUGAUGCCUUUUUAAAUGACUUGUACUUGCAUUUGAGCCACCACUAAGAAGUUUGUUACAAAUUUUACAUUUUGCUUUUAUUUUAUUUUAUUUUAUUUCUAAAUUUAUUUCUAUUCUAUCAAAAAAAUUCCAUAUAUUUGAAGUAAAUUUUUUGCUAUCACAUGCAUUAAAUGAAGAACAAGAACCACUUGCCAUAAUUAUAAUUAUUGAUAAAAUAUUAUGCUAAAAAUAAUAAAUGUAAAAUUAAAAUGUAACAAAUAAAUAAAAGUAAAGGUAAAGUAUGUUACUAAAUUGGAGAACCGAAGUAGAAAUUCCUUCAAAUUUGAACUCUUUGAACCACCAAUGCUUGUUUUUCACCACCAAUAAUAUUGAAUAAUUUGAGACAAAAUGCAAUAAUCGGAAAUAUUGUGGAAUGGGAGAGAGCUUAAGAGUUGAGAGAAUAGAAAAAAAUUGAGGGUAUUUAAUAUUUAUAGGGAUUUAAAUAUUAGGAUUUAUUUAUUUAUUUUUUUUUAAAUUUCAAGACCGUUCAACGGUCAUAAUAUUGAAUUAUGAGUGGCAGACAUGUUCAACGGUCAUGUGAUCGUUGAACAGCCAGCUCACUUUUAUUUUUUUUCAAAAAUCAUACAAUAUUUCUAAUAUAUAUAUAACUAAUGCAAAAUAGUUACACAAAAAAGGGCUACCUUAGUUGGUGGCUAGCUCCUUUAUCCCCUUCCCUUCAAAACUUAAAACUAUUUUAAUUUUUACCCAAGCCCGCCCAUCCGGCCCGCCCGGGUAGCCCGCCAGCCGGCCCGCUGGGCAGCCCUCCAGCCGGCCUGCCAGGGAGCUUGCCAUCCGACCCGCCGGGCAGCCGGCCCGCUCAGCUUGAGGGCCCACGGGCCUUAGAUAUACCAACGGCCCGGCUCGGCCCGUUGACCAGUCAAAGAGCUCAGUGGCCAGCCCCGGGUUGGGCUAUGGGCCUUACUCCUCCGGGCCGGGAGGUUCGGCCCGGCCCGUUGGAGACCCUUAGUUUUAUAUGAUAAAAAUUUUAAAAACAAAUAAAUAGAUAUUUACCAAAUUAUUAAUCAAACAACUGCGUAGCAUAUGGUGGUGUGUCAUUCGUUUUGUUUAACCAAAAGUCACACGUUUAAUUCCCCACCAUGCAAAGUUCCUUUUAAUAUUAUCAAAGAUCCCAUAUCGGAAACCUAUAAACCACUUAUGUGGUAUCUAUAUCUGCAAACCUUGGGAAUGAGCAAACGGGGCUGGGAGUGAAGGGAUCUGGGCCAACAGAUGGGCAUCUCUACCUAUGCCUAAAGGUCUUCUGCCUGAAGUAAAUGGGCUGGGAAUGGAUGAAUCUGGGCCGCUAGAUGAGUAAAAACCCAUUUAGUAAAAGAUGGAUACAGUAAAAGGACUAAAACAUAUAUUAUUUUAUACAAUGGGUUAAGGAAAUAUAAAGUUUUCUUGAAAGAAGGAAACAAUUAAUAUAUUUGGAAAACUCCAUAGUAAAUCAUAUAUUAUUCCAUACAAAAUUAAUUAUUUUUUCAAAAAUUCAUGGUAAAUCAAUGUUUAAUUUUUUUUUUUUAUGUAAGUAUUAUGUUAAGGAGCCUAUUUAUUUUUAGAAUUUUUGUAUAUAAUUAAUUAAUGUGAUUAGUGCUAAGUUAUUGUGGAUGCAAUUUAGGAAAGUUGUAGGCCCUAAUUGUUUGACUCUUUAUAGCUUACAACUAAUUAAUUAUUUUGAAAAUUUUUAUUUAAAAUUGUUGGAUUAAUAUUGUAUAAUAUAUAUUGUUGUGAUAUCGCAAUAUAUUAAUUAUUAAAAUAUAAUCUUAGUUUGCUUUGAUUUUGUUAAUGUAAUAAAUGGAUAGACCAUAUUAAUUUAAUGAUGUUAUUUUAAUAGUCAAAACAUAGGAAAUAUAAUCUUAAUUUAAAACAUUAAUGUACAUAUUUUUCUAAAUAAUGUAUAAUGAAAUUAUUCUUCUUAACAAUAAAUUUAUUUUCCGAUAUACUUAUUUUUCUAGGAAAUGUACUUUUUUUUCAAAAUAUAAUUGUUUUUUUUCGAAGGAUGUACUUAUUUAUAUUAUUAUAAAUAAGUGAAAGUUUAUAAACAGUUUAUGGUAAAAAAAAAAUUAAUGUAUAUAUAAUGUACUUUUUUAAAGAAAAAUAAUUAAUUUUCAAAAGGUUCUACUUAUUUUUAUAAGAGAUUUUUUAUUUUUAUUUUUUAUAAUAUACUUAUUUUAUGAAGGAUGCAUUUGUUUAUAUUGAUACAAAUAAUUGAAAGUUCAUUAGUUCUUUUAUGAUAAACCUUUUAUAUAUAUAUAUAUAUAUAAUUUAUUCAUUUUUCAUACUUAUUUUUUUAAAGAAUAUACUUAAUUUCUAAGCAUUUACUUAUUUUCGUUGAUGCAUUUAUUUUUGAAUAGGGUGUACUUAUUAUCCUUUAAUGUAGAAUAUACAAAAUGGUUCUUUAUAAAUUUUAAUACUUGUACAACGAUAAAUAUUUAUUAUGAUUAAUUUUAGUUGCUUGGUUUUCCUUGCUAAUUCCUGUGGGGUGGGUGCUUGGAAUUUUUCAGUAGUGGCCUUCUUUUGCAGGUCAGUUUCGGGGAGUUGAAGAGAGCUGAUCAUGUUGCUUUUCCUCUUAAAGGAUCCAAAAUGAAAGACGAAGCAAAUGAAAGUGUUUCGGCUGGUCUCUCCUACAGCAUUGAAAUCAAGGAUGCUUACAUUCCACCGUGGAUAAGAUCCAGAAUGGCAGUGCAGUGGUUCUCAUGGUGGUUAGAAGGGCAGCAGGGUUAUGUUUUGUUAUCUGUAAUAUUUUUUUUAUUAUAUAGUGAAAUGUUAUCUCUCAUUUAUAGGUGUAGACAUACAUGUUGACUAAACCAUGCAUUUUAAAACUUUGACACCUUUAUAUGUGGAUUAUCUUUACUUUAUGCGUUCUUUCAUUCAUAUAUAUACAUUGAAACUUUUGCUAGCCCAAUAAAUGGUAUUAGAGCUUUUGUUGGCCUAACAAACUUAACGUUGUCCUUUCAAGAUGUAGUGAAAAGGCCUUUUAAAGGAUUUGUAUUUUAUCAUAAAAUAGAAAAGAAAGAAAAGAAACAUUAGAGAAUUUCGACUCCUAACCACUUGGCAAUAUAUUUAUCUUAUAUUGAAGAUAAAUAACUAGUCCAAAUUUUAUGGUGUUAUAUAGUCCACACAUAGAUUAAAGUAAUUAAGGAGGAAGAUGGCUUACCAGUAAGUUUCCAUGAGGGCUUGAAUGAACAAAUAAAAUAGAGAGAUGGUGGAAUAUAAGGACUUAGCUAGCAAGCGCACCUGGCAAUGGAGCUUAAAGCUUGAGAUCAGUGCUGGAUGCUCUCAAUCUUUUACGGCAUGGUUCCCGAUCAUCUGCUUGGUUUUUCCCGGCAUCAUCAUGGCCUCUUUGAUGAUCCAACAACAUAGGCACACUGCUGUUUAGAGAAUCACGGGUGUACAUCAUCUGAACCCCGCACCUCUUGAUAUUGGGAUGAGUAACCUCACCAUUCAUCCGGGUAGAAAAAUCAAACGCCGCCAGAAAGUGCCAUGGUUGAUUGCGGUGGUACUUAUUUGGAAUAGCAUUCUUAGGAUAGAGAGUCACCCACAAUUCAUCUGAUACAUUACCAUUAAUCUCGUGACAUUUACGCAAAGAAUCCAUGGAGAGGUGAUCCACAACUUCAUCCGAAUCACCGUGCAAUGUCAAAUCAAAAUAAUAUGGAACCUCAAAAUGAUUCCCUUUAUGAUAAAGAAAGAAGAAAGCAAAUCCCAGAAAGUGGUCAUCCUCGUACCAAUUCAAAGGAAGCUCUAUUCUUACUUGGCUUCCAAUCUCCUGAUGCAACACCCACCCUGGAAUUCCACCGUUUCCCGGAAUAAUAAUUACCUUGCCUUUCUUCCAAUUCCGAUUCAUGUACUGCAUAUACAAUCAAAGCUAAUAUGUAAUUGGGGUACUACUGGGUGGAUGAAAAGUUUUAAGUGUCGUUAUUAAAUAAAAAUCAUACCUCAUUACUUGUUGGAUUGAACCGUUUGAACCAUUUGAGGAAAGGACAGAGUAGAGAUGAUGGACUUGAUAACAUUUCCAGCUUCGUGCAGCCGUGGGCAUCUAUUUGUGGUAGACUCGAUGAAAGCUCUGGAAUUUCUUGGAGCAUCUUGCAGUGACUGAUAUCAAGGAGACGGAGUCUACAAAGUUGAGUGAUGCCAGAUGGUAUGCUAACCAUAUGGUUUCCACUUAGAUUUAAUGUAAACAAGGAAUAUAGACCCCAGAUAUCAGUGGGUAUUGACCCUUCCAUUAGAUUGCAGUGACUCAAAUCUAGUUCUACUAAGGAGCAUAAGCCUUCCAGAUUCUUGGGAAACUUCUCCAAGUUUGAACAACCAGGGAGUAUCAAUCGUUUAAGAGAUCUCAAAUCAUUAAUGCUGUCUGGAAGAGUCACAAGGUUCUUGCAAUUGCUCAAAUACAACAUUUGGAGGCUUUUCAGAUUUUGAAUUGAUGAUGGUAGUUCUUUUAUAGCUGUUCCUUCCAAACCAAGCACCUCUAAGUAUUUCAUACCCUCCAUGAUUUUGGGAAAGUUCCGUAGGCUUGAGCACCCAUUGAGAAAGAGUCAGCGAAAAGAUUUAAACCUACAAAUGCUGCUUAGAAGACUCCUCAAGUUUUUGCAAUCAUUCAAAAACAAUGAAUUAAUAUUAAGAUGUUCCAUUGAUGAUGGUAGCUCUUUUAUACUUGUUCUUCUUAAAUCAAGAAAUUCUUUCAUAUCCUCCAUGAUUUCUGGAAAAGCAUCUAGAUUUGAACAAACAAAGAGUUGGAGGUCUUCAAGGGACUUUAAACUGCAAAUGCUACCUGGAAGACUCCUCAAGUUUUUGCAGUGUUCCAUAUACAACUCCUGAAGUCCAGUGAGAUAUUCUAUUGAGGAGGGUAAUUCCUUAAUAGCUGAUCCAUCAAAGUGAAGAUAAGUUAAAGCUUUCAUAGAACUCUCCUCUAUCUCCAGAAAUUUCUCCAAGUUUGAGCAAUUAUUCAAGUAAAUAGUUUCAAGAGAGUCCAAGUAUUGAAUGCUACUUGGUAAGCUCGUAAGGUUUUCACACCCACUCAAACUCAACAAAGUUAGCUUCUUAAGAAAUCCAACAGAUUGAUCAACAAUAUUCAAACUUGUACAAUAUCCAAGUUCUAACUACUCUAGAUUUGGCAUAUUUGAAAAGUUUGAUAUUUCAGUGAGCUGCUUUGAUCCUAGUAAAUUUAAGAACUUUAACUUUCCCAAACACUGUGACAAAAGGAAUUUUGAUUUAGUACAAAAUGAAUUUUCAUGAACAAAAAAUUAAUCUCAAACAAAAUAAUAUGAUGAAAUACUAAUUAUACCUUAUUUCCUUGCCAAAGUUAUUUUUAUGUUGCUAUCCAUCAUGUUGAGUACAACAAGGUUCUCUCCAUGAAAAUUUGACGGCAAUGAUUUCAAAGGGUAUCCUUUCCAAUGAAGAUAUCUCAACUCUUGUGAAGGAAAUUGAAAAUCUUCGGGAAGAAUAAUUUUAUACUCAUUUUUCAUGGAACCACAACAAUCCAUCCCAUAAAUCUUGAGCAAUCUAAGUUGGUUCAUCUUUGCAAAAACCUUUGUUCUAAAUUGUAGUUGUUUUGAUCUAGACAAGUUUAAGAAUAUGGCCUCAACAUUUUUCAUCCCCUACAAACAAUAACAAAGGAUUAGGCAAGCAUAAAAGAGAUAAAGCUAGCUAAAAUUGUAUGGAUAUGAACUUAGACAAAAAUGAUAUUGCUCACAUUUACAUAUUUUUAUGAAGCUUAAGAAAGUUCAUGAGUUUGAUGGUUACCUUCUUCAUUGUAAAUGCACGAUACACAUCACUCGGAUCCCACAAUCUGCUCCAUUUUCCAGGAUUAUCAGGAAAUUCACUACGAAUAAUGUUCCUUCCCAUUUCUUGUAUCAAAUCAUGCAUAAGUAUCUUAUUUUCAGAAAGAGAUAUAAGACACUUAUCAUAGAGGACUUUUAUUCCUAUCUCUGCAUACAAAUCACAACUAUCCAAUAUCCUUGAAACAAAGUCUUUGUCUUCCCCUUUAAAAAAACAUGCAAUGUCAAGAAAUAUUUUCUUCUGUGUAUGAUCUAAUCCGUCAAAGCUUACUUUAAGCACAUUUUGAAUUUUCACUUCAGGUUCUCUUUCCAAUUUACACAAUUCGCUUUCCCAUGGGAGUAUUGUCUUGUUAAACAAGAGAGAACCGAGGACUUUUAGAGCUAAAGGAAGGCCAUGACAAUAAUAGAUUACAUGAUUCGAGAGGUGGAUAAAGUAUUGUUUAGGAAGAUUUUGUCUAAAAGCAAAGAGACUACAAAGCUCACGAGCUUGUUCAUAAUUUAAUUCCUCAACCUCAUAUACGUCAUCUAUUUCUUGUAACAAAUGUUUACUUCUAGUCGUAUUGAUGACUCUGCUUCCUCUUCCAAGCCAAUCACGAUUUCUGAGUAAAUAUUCUAAUUGAUUUGAAUCAUCAAUGUCAUCAAGAACAAUAAAAACUCUUUUAAAUCGGAGAACAUUUUUUAUCAUAUUGGCUCCUUGGCCAACAUUGCUUACAUUUUGAUUUCUCUCCACUUGUAGUAGAUCACAAAGAAUUUGAUUUUGUAAAUGAUGCAAACCCAUAGUAUUGCCAACUUCUCUAACAUUUUCGAGAAAGCUCAUAUACUCAAAUUCAUGAGAAAAUUUAUUAUAUAUAACUUUGGCGAGCCAUUCCAUCUAUGCCACAUAUACCAAUUAUAUUAUACAAACAUCAUCCAAUUGAUCAACACAUAACUGCCGAAUUAUCUCAUUUACAUGGGAAUCCAUACCAACCAAGUUGGCACCAACAUCAAAUAUUCUACAAUUCAAUCUCAUGAAUAUAUUGUUGACGAUUUUCUUAAUAUGCUCGACUCGCGCCUGCCAAUUGUAAAGUACAUGUGAUGAUUAAUUAGGCUACACCUGAUUAAAAAAUAAAUACAUGUUAAGCUUCUUCGUGAAAAAUGAAUUAUAGUAAAAAAAAAAAAUUAUAUCAAAAGUAUUAAGUUUUAAAACUCAAAUUAAAUUUUUAGGACAUUUUUUUAUUAUAUCAAAUAUACAAGACAAUGAAAAUAAAAUAUGUAUUUGUUUAAUUUGUUUGCUUGUGAGACAUUGUCAAUUUGAUUUUUUUUUUUUUUGGGAACAUUUAUAGGCUGCUAAGCAUGGAGCAAAUUUAUAUCAAACAAAAUCAUAUUGUAAUGACCCACUCUGUUGUGCAUAUAUAGAUAUCAUUUGCAGCUCUCUCUCUAUGUUAUAUGUAACAUUAUAAUUUACCAAUCCCCUAUCCACAAUGGAGACACAAGGUCCUCAUCACGUCUCAUAAUAUCAUGGGUUUGCAGGUCUUCAGUGACUUUCUUGAUAUACUUUGAUUCAUGAGUCGCAAUCGUAAAUGACCUCCAAAUCUAUUCAGGUAUUACAACUAUAAUUAUAAAAAUGCCUGAUUCCUGUAGCAGUAAAUAAAACCAAACUUAUAAAUGAAAGUUGAAUGGAAAUUAAUAAAGCUUUACCCAUCCUUCACAUGCUCUUCAGAUAUAUUGGUUGCUUCUGUCAAUGCACUCCUCCAACUUCGCACCUUCUCUUUCAUCUCUUCUGUAUCUUCUUUGUAAUUAGAAAAUGCCUCUCCAAACCUUCCUGUCUGGUUUCGUACAAGGGAUGGAUCCACAUGGUAGAAAAUCGGUACCACAGUUUGUUUCAUUUCUUUCUUGCACUUCAUGAUCUUCACCAGCUCAUCUAAACACCAUCUGGAACCAGCAUAGUUUUCCGAGAAAACUAUUAGGGAAAACCUUGAUUCUUCAAUAGCUUUUAGGAGUUCAGGUUCAAUCUCUUCCCCUCUCUCAAGUGAAUCAUCUCUAAAGGUAUGAAUACCUCUUCGAAUCAAAUUUUCAUAAAAAUGAUCAGUGAAAUUGAAUCGGGUGUCUUCACCUCUAAAACUCAAGAAAACAUCAAAAUACCUUUGUGGGAUGAAAGUAGAAAUAGAAGUAGAACUUGUGGAAGCCAUAAGAAACUUCUGCCAAAAUCAGAACUUAGAAGGGAUUUUGCAGAAUUGUGAAUGUAGAUUGUGCAGAUUUGUUAGCAAAAAUUUGUUGAUGAAGGAUUUUGUGUCACUGUAAUGUAUAGAGAAGAGAGUGACAACACGCGCUGCUGCAGAUGAGAUUACGGAGAUAGAGCAUCUUACUUUGGGUGAUGUCAGUGCCAGCUGGACAAUACAAUCGCACUGUGCGAUGCUGCUCUUUUUUUUUUUUGAUUCGUGUCUUUUUAAAGUUAGAAACUUUAAUUUAAAAAAAAAAAAGAUAUGGAAAAAAAUAGUCCGGCGUCUGUUCUUUAAAAUAAAGAAAAAAAAUAACAGUUUUUAGAAUUUGAAAAAAAUAAAAGAAUGUUUGACAGAUGUUUUGAAAAUUAUUAUUAUUUUUUUAAAAUAAAAAAUUUAUUUGAAUAAAAGAAUUUAUAUUACCUUCAAAUAAUUGUAUUGUUUUUAAAGACAAAAUAUCAUGCCUCAAAACCCCUUCAUUGACAUGAAGAUCAUUUUACACUUCAAAUCUAAGAUUUAAAGUCGAAAUGAUAUAACCAUUUAUCUUGUAAUUGAAAAAUAUUAAUUAUUAAAUUCAUAUUCAAAAUAAUAGAAUAAAAAUUUUAAAAUUUAUAAAAAUCAACUUUAAAAACUGACACAUCAACCAAAAUAUUAUUGUUAAAAUAACUCUAAUUUCAAAUAAUUUAAACAAUAAUUAAAUUUUAAUAUUUAAAUAAUGUCCAAAAUUAAUUUUGAACCUAAAUAUUAACGAAGAAAAAUUUCAUAACUCAACCAUCACUCUUGGUCAGAACUAAAAUAGCAUUACCAGCUAGCUAACAAGAAUAAGCUAACUUUCUGUGUGUUCGCGCUUGUGUGGCGCACAGUUUUACAACAAAGCCGACUUCAGAUGGCCUAAAUGCUGCAGUUGAAACUGUUGGCCUGAAAGCCGACACCCAAGCAGCAACAGGCGAAGCCAUACAAGAAAGCACAUAUGCAUUUGGAAUUCCAGAGGCUGUUGUAACUUGUUACAUGCAUUCGGCCUUCUUUAAAGGCUUGAAAUAUGCCAAUGGUUCUUUUACUGCCUGUCUUUCGCCUGUAUAACAAAUCUGUUUUCAUUGAUCAAGUGUUUCAACUAUAUGAUUACUUACAAUUAAAACUGUGAGGACACCAUGCAUUUGGAGAGAUUCUAGGUAGAGCUUUUAAAUGAUUACAAACAAGAAAAAUCUCUAUGCUUGAAAUAUGCAAAUCAAAAUCAACAAUAAAUUGAAUGCAUUCCAAAUUUGAGUUAUAGGAUGCACAUGUCCUUCACUAUUUAAGUUUAAUUAUAAUUUAUUCUAAAUAUGAGUUUCUAAAACUAAGUGUUUAGCCAAUCUUAAAAAAAAAAUGAAAUCAAGUUUUAGGCAUUAGGGUUCGGAUUUCCAAACUCAAAGUUGUAAAAUGACUAAUAUUUAAGAUGAAUUAUAUUGAGAAGUGUCUCAAAUUCCUAGUUAUAUAUUCCUUGUGAAAAGAAUAUUUUAUAAGUUCAUAUGUGGUUGUAAUAAAAUUCUUUGUAGAAUAAAGAAACUUAGUAGGAAUAUCUCUCUAAAUAUUUUAGGUUGAGUAGGAAAAAAGUUAUUAUAUGAGAUGGAGAUAGAGAUGAGAGGAAGAGUGAGAGACAAUUAAUGAAGUAAGAGUGCUCAUGGCUUAAGCUAUAGAUACAAAGACCGGAAAAUGAUGGAUGUUUAAUAACCUAGUCGUUGCAUCUGUUUUUACUAUCUGUAAUAUUUUUUUAUUGUAUAGUGGAAUGUUAUCUCUUAUUUAUAGGUGUAAACGUGGUUGAUCAAAUCAUACUAAAACUUUGCGUACCUUUAUGCAUGAAUUAUCUUUAUUUUUUGUUUUUUCAUUGGUGUAUUUUCAUUAAGACUUCCACUAGCCCAAUAUAUGAUAUAAGAACUUUUGUUGACCUAACAGACUCAAUACUGUCUUUUCGGGAUGUAGUGAAAAGGCCUUUUAAAGGAUUUGUAUUUUAUCAUAAAGUAGAAAAGAAAGAAAAGAAACAUGACAGAAUUUCGACCCCUUCGAACCACUUGGCAUUAUAUUCUUAUAUUGAUGAUAAAUACUCAAGUCAAAAUUGUAUGGUGUUAUAUAGUCCGCACAUAUCUUAAAGUAAUUAAGAAGGGGGAGGAAGAUGGCUUACCAAUAAGUUUCCAUGAGGGCAUGAAUGAACAACUAAAAUAGAGAGAUGGUGGAAUAUAAAGAGGACUUUCCUAGCAAGUGCACCUGGCAAUGGAGCUUAAAGCUUGAGAUCAGUGCUGGAUGCUCUCAAUCUUUUAGGGUGUGGUUCCUGAUCAUCUGCUUGGUUUUCCCUGGCAUCAUCAUGGCCUCUUUGAUGAUCCAACAACAUAGACACAUUGUCAUGUAGAUAAUCAUGGGUGUAUAUCAGCUGAACUCCGCACCUCUUGAUAUUGGGAUGCAUAGGCGAACCAUUAAUCCUAGGAAAAAAAUCAAACGCAACCAGAAAGUGCCAUGGUUGAUUGCGUUGGUACUUAUUUGGAAUAGCAUUCUUAGGAUAGAGAGUCACCGACAAUGGACCUGAUGCAUCACCAUUAAAGCUGUCGCAUGUACACCCAAACCUAAUGGUGCGGCCAUCCAAAACUUCAUCCGGGUCACCGCGCAAUCUCAGACUAAAUGGAGUUCGAUGCAGACAAUCACCCUCACGAUAAAGAGUGAAGAAAGCAAAUCCCGGAAAGUGGUCAUCCUCGUACCAAUUCAAAGGAGGCUCUAUUCUCACUUGGCUUCCAAUCUCCUGAUGCAAUACCCACCCUGGAAUUCCACCAUUUCCUAGGAUAACAAUCAUCUUGCCUUCCUUGCAAUUCAAGUGCUGCAUAUACAAUCAAAGCUAAUCCGUAAUUGGAGUACUACUAGGUGGAUGAAAAGUUUUAAGUGUCGUUAUUAAAUAAAAAUCAUACCUCAUUACUUGUUGGAUUAAACCAUUUGAGGAGGGGAGACCAGAGUAGAGAUGAUGGACUCGAUAACAUUUCCAGCUUCGUGCAAUAGUGGGCAUCUAUUUCUCGUGGACUCGAUGGAAGCUCUGGAAUUUCUUGGAGCAUCUUGCAGUGACUGAUACCAAGGUAACGAAGCUUACAAAGUUGAGA